GGCCUUCGUGGAUAAGUGGUAACGCUCGCGAUUUUGAUUCGUAAGGUCGAGGGUUCGAGGCCCGCCACGGUCU
Halocaridina rubra (Hawaiian volcano shrimp) is the source of this 73-nucleotide non-coding RNA. Lineage: Eukaryota; Metazoa; Arthropoda; Malacostraca; Decapoda; Atyidae. The record is from the annotation of a GenBank genome assembly.